GUUUUUAGAGCGUAUCCCGAAAAGUGUGAACCGGUUUUCGGAAAAGAUACGCGUCAAAACAA
This 62-nucleotide unclassified non-coding RNA is filed under the name Brucella sp. 191011898. Its description in RNAcentral is "BASRCI408". The record is from RNAcentral. Lineage: Bacteria; Pseudomonadati; Pseudomonadota; Alphaproteobacteria; Hyphomicrobiales; Brucellaceae.